GAUGAAGAACGCAGUGAAAUGCGAUAAGUAAUGUGAAUUGCAGAAUUCAGUGAAUCAUCGAAUCUUUGAACGCACCUUGCACCCUUUGGCAUUCUGAAGGGUAUGCUCGUUUGAGUGUCAUUGUACUCUCACACUCCCGAUCUUUGCAUUGGGAGCAGUGGACUUGGGUUUGCUGCUUCACCGUCGCUUACCUCAAAUAGGUUAGUGCAACUCUUGGUUGGACAUAGUACGGCGUGAUAAGUGUUCUUCGCCGGUGCCUCGCAAAGAGGGUGGCCGAUCGGGAUGUUGUGCUCCAAACCGUCUUCGGACAAUCUCUGACGACUUGACCUCAAAUCGAGUAAGACUACCCGCUGAACUUAAGCAUAUCAAUGAGCGGAGGA
This 380-nucleotide unclassified non-coding RNA is filed under the name soil metagenome. RNAcentral's name for it is "partial contains 5.8S ribosomal RNA, internal transcribed spacer 2, and large subunit ribosomal RNA". The stretch from base 1 to 120 matches the Rfam family "5.8S ribosomal RNA", at positions 35 to 154 of the family's 154-position model. The record is from RNAcentral.